AAAUACUUGGGGCUCUGGUAAUUUGGUGGAAUCUAUAACAAACACCCCCACUCACCCACCCAAUCUCUCUCUCUACAAUUCACAUUUGUCUGUUAUAUGCCACCGUCUGGUCGGCAACAAGCCCUUCUAGUCAGUCACUAUAACAAACACCCCCACUCACCCACCCAAUCUCUCUCUCUCUACAAUUCAUAUUUCUUCUUGCUUUAAUGGACCUUCAGUUUUAAUUGCUCUGUUUCUUUGUUUGUCUGUCAAGAAUUCAUCUUUAUGAUUGGUUACAUGGAUUAACCGAAACUACUGGUAAUCUUUUUUUUUUUCAAUUUCAAGAUGAUUAAUGUGAUGGAUCAUGUGAACAAACCCAUGAACGAAGUGGACAGAAGCUUAGCUGACUCAGCAGCAGCUUCGGUUUGGCUAGAGCUGACAGUGGUGGUUGUGGUGGUGGUGGUGGCUGGAGGUGGCAGUCGUUGGAGAAGAUGACCGGAGUUGCAGGUUUCCGGUGACGGAAGUAGUGGUGGUGUUAUAUAUGAAAGGGAUAUUAAGUUGUGGUGGUGGCUGGAGGUGGCAGUGGUGGUUGUGGUGGUGAAUGGCGGUGGCAGUGGUGGCAGGGGGUAAUAUCACAGAGUGCACAAAACACAGGGGGUAAAUAUGAAAGGGCAUUAUAGUCAUUUCAAGUUAUAGUCAACAGAUUAGUCAACAAAUUUGAGGCCGGGGGGGGGGGGGUAAGGUUGCAACAUAACAGCAAACAGUGGGGGAUAAAAUUGCAAUUAUUUCCUUAGGGGGGGGUAAGGGUGCCAAUCACCCCUAACCACAGGGUGUAAAAUUGCAGUUUACUCUUAUAAUUAUUAUAUUAUAAACCUAUAAAUUAGCAACUUCUUUGUGCAUACAUGUGUUGUACUUUUAGCUUUGGGAGUGUUUCAAAAAAAAUUGGAAUUUUCCCUUUUUAACCCUAAAGUAUCAAUCUUUGACAAUUUUAGUUUAAGGUUUUAAUCUUUGGUAAUUUAACCCCCUUGAUUAAUUUGAUUUUUCACUUCUACUUCAAAAGUUUCCAUCUUAUACAAUUUAACCCCUUUGAUUAAUUUGGACUCUCAUUUCUAAUUCAAAAAUUUCCAUCUUUUACGAUUUAACUACUUUGAUUUUUUUUUUACUUUUAACCUAAAGCUUUUCAACUUUUGCAACUUUGACCCAUAUACUUUUCAUGUAUCGCAAGUUUUGUGUUUAACGUUUCGUUCUAGAUUUUCCGAGUUAACAUGGCACAACGUGCGUGUGGAGUUCAACAUUUUUCAUCUACUUUAUCCUGUUUGACAGGCCCGUCACAACACGUCUAUUUUUCUUCGUUUGAUAGGUCUGUUGCAAUGCGUGGGUCAUAGAUCGACUCAGUUAUUAUUUUAUAUGUUUUACACACAGGCUCGCCGUCAUGUAAGAAACAUUUGUCUUUCAUCUAAUAUGAUAGAUAACUAACGCAUUCUCCGUCGUAUUGCGGCGGGUGAUAAUUCUAGUUAUAACUUAUUAUCCUAACACAAACCAUGCAAAGUUUGAUGACAUUACAACAAAAUUAAAAAGUGAAUUACUUGAAAUCUAGACUUGGAGUCGUGUUUGACCUACCAUCGUUAUCGGGAAACAUAUUCUUUUUAUGGGAAUCCUUAUAUCAAUGGCGCAUCUAGCUAAAAAAUUCAGGGGUACCCAUUUAUUUUUGGGAUCAGGGGUAUCAUUUGUAUAAAAAACUAAAAAUUUUACACUACGUAGACGGAAUUGAAGAGUAUUGUUAUACUACAGAGACGGAGUUGAGGGGUCGUCUGGCUACCCCUCCUUAUACACUGGCUCCGCCGCUGCGUAUACUUAAUGGUUUAGGUGAUCACUUUAUAAUGCAUUUCAUAUAAAGUUGUUCCUUCACUAACCCAAACAUUUAUAGAUUAAUAGCUAACAACUUAAUACAUCCAAAUUAACUGUCUCAAAUUUUUUAAACAUGUAAGACAGCUAAAACCAGUGCACGUUUUGUCAUGGGUUGCCUUGAAGUCCUCCGCGGCCAGGGGCGGACCCACGUUAAUCGGAACGGGGUCCCCGGACCCUAAUCUUUUUUUAAAAAAUAGUAGAAGCGGUAUAUAAAAUUUUCUAUGGACCCUAUAAAAUAAUUUAGUUGGACCCCAUAACAAUGAGAGUGAGCCUGGUGUAGUGGUAAAACCCCUUGUUUACACCUGGUUCAAUACUUGUUUGUUUCAUUUUUUUGUGUUUUUUUUAAACCUGAUUUUAAAUUAAUCACUCUAUUUUUUUUCUAUUUCAAUUUUUUCUCACCUAUAUUUAGCUGAAAGUGUAGUAAAUGAAAUUUGUAAUUUAGUUAUGAUAUUGUUUUCUAUUAUGUUUCUCGACCCGACCCGAACAACGACCGAUCCAAAAAAUUUGAACACCGGAAAAAUGGGACCCCAUUGUCUAAAAAUCCUGGGUCCGCCACUGUCCGCGGCCCCCUCGGUCUCCUUUGGACUAGUAGUUUUGUCUCAUUUAUUGAUACAGGUCAUGGGAUCCGUCCUGUCGUUGAGUCAUCAAGGGAGUGACCUUAACUCCUAACCACUUGUUUGCGUUUUGGACCAAAUCUAGCCCAGCCCAACAACAUUCUGCGAUUCUUCUGCUGAUGACUUACAUAAAUCUGGUAUGGGAUUCCUGUUUGAAAUCAGUUUUGGGUAUGGUCAACAAUGUAAAAAAAAAUCGGGUAUUGUAAUACCCGAGUCAGGCAGCGAACCGGAUUUUAUAGAGGAAUUGAUCGGGUAGGGUUGUGUAUUCCCGGGUUGGACCUGGUUUCAAAUCAUAGGAUAUGGACUUGAUAAAUACCUGGCGGGUAGGGUCGAGUACGGAACCAGAUUGUAAUACCUAGGUUUUUUAUUACCCGAUUUCGGGUAGGGUAUAGUACUCGGUUUUUAUAUGCACCUCUACUUUUUGAAUGAUUCAUUCUUGAUUCAACUAAUCAAUUCUAGAGAGGGGUGUGCAAUGAUGGUUCGGUUCGGGUUUUACCUUUAACCAUAUCUGUAACCGCUAGCUUCGGUUAUGGAAUUUCCUUAAUCAUAGCCAUAACCAAACUUCGAUUCGGUUAAUUGGUUAUGAAAUUCGAUUAUGGUUCAGCUUUGGUUAAUUUCGGUUAAUUAACCGAUCUCAGUUUGCAUUUAAAUUUAAACUAAAUGAACAUAUUAGACAAUUAUUGUCUUAGUUUCAAUCAUAUUUAUAAAUAAAAAAGACAAAAAAAAAAAA
Long non-coding RNA from Helianthus annuus (common sunflower), 3231 nucleotides. RefSeq lists it as uncharacterized. The transcript has 3 exons. The record is from RefSeq and is a predicted model, not a curated record. NCBI's taxonomy places the organism in Eukaryota, Viridiplantae, Streptophyta, Magnoliopsida, Asterales, Asteraceae.